RNAcentral lists this long non-coding RNA (647 nucleotides) under Homo sapiens (human). RNAcentral describes it as "non-protein coding lnc-C3orf85-4:8". Lineage: Eukaryota; Metazoa; Chordata; Mammalia; Primates; Hominidae. The record is from RNAcentral.
AAACGGAGCCCAGGAAUAGAGAAGGAAGUGCAGGUUGUGGACUGGGCAACCCCCAAGGCGGCAAAGAGGAAACCAGAGACAGGGUCUCGGUCUGUUACCCAAGCUGAAGAGCAAUGGGAUGAUCAUGGCUCACUGCAGCCUCAGAUUCCUGGGCUCAAGUGAUCCUCCCAUCUCAGCCUCCCAAGUAGCUGGACCUACAGACAUCCACCAUCAUGCCUGGGCCCCAGGUACUGAAGAUAAGAAUAUAGAGAAGUUUUUCUUCUGACAGACUUGCUGGAAGCCAGGUGGCUAUCGCUGGUAACAAUCCAGGAAGCUAACGGAUAACUUCUGUAACAACUGGACCCACACGGCCAGGACUUGAUUAAUGACUGACAUCUACCCUAAUUUUUGUGCCUACAUCCAAUUUAAGACCAAACAGAGAAAACGAAACACGCACCCCUAACCGAUCAUGCAGAAUGCCCCUACUUCUGUUUAGCCCGCCUACAGCUUCCCCAUGGCAAUAGCCUCCAAUCAGGAUACACCUGAACCCUUCCCUCCCCACCCACUGCCCUGCUAUAAAGCUUUCUCAUUUCUCUGCCUUUGAAUCACUGCCAAAACACAGCGACAGUAGCUAACUCCCUUGUUGUAUAGCAGGCUGUGAAAAAAUA